Non-coding RNA from Equus caballus (horse), 1992 nucleotides. Lineage: Eukaryota; Metazoa; Chordata; Mammalia; Perissodactyla; Equidae. The record is from RefSeq and is a predicted model, not a curated record.
AAAAAUUAAAAAAAAUGCUUGCUGAAGCAUUUUUACAAUAGUUGCUCUAAAGACUUAGAUAAUCCCAACACCUGUCUUCUCUGCGUUGGUGUGCAUUGGUUGUCUUUCCCAUGUGAGUUGAGAUGUUCCUGGUUCUUCAUAUUCUGAGUAAUUUUGAAUUGUAUGCUGGACAUCUUGAAUAUUAGGUAUGGACUCUUGGUCUUGUGUAAAUCCUAUGGAGUGUGUUGCCAUUUCUGUUUUAGGAGGCAUUCUCUUCACAUGCAGCCACCAUAGCUCUUGUCGUCGUGGCGGGGUCAGGACAAGGGAGGAAGGUGGGCCGUGGACGGGAAGGGGUCAGAUGGAGUGGGGUGAGUCUUUUGGGGGCAUUACUGGAGGUAUCUGGGUCCUGGGGGCACCAGGAACUGCCAACACAGGACAGACUCGAGAGUCCUCAGGGGGGCCCGGGUGAGGGUCGGAGAACCCAGCCCGCCGGGCACAGGCGGACGCAAUGCGCAUGCCCGGUGCCGCGCUUUCCCAGCAGCCCUCAGCGUCCGGGGCGCGUAACGGUCGGGGCGCCGGGCUGUGCGGGUUAGUCUUGCGGUCGUGCUUCUUUCCUGUUGGCUGAGGCUCAGUCCGUAGGUCCACGGAGCAGUCCUUCCAGGAGUCUAACCAUGAUGUGGAAUAUGAGUGGGCGAAUAACAUUAACAUUCCAACCUAGAGGAAGAAGAGAUGAUCAAGAAUCUUCCCCGCUAGUUGGGCCUGUGGUUACCCAGCAGCCCGGUGAUGUGCGACCUCAAGAAGAGGAACCACUAACUGAGAGUCAGGAUGUUGCACCUGAUCAUGAGAAGGAAGAUGAAGGCGCACUUGUGGUUCAAGGUGAAGGGAAAGGCAAGAAGAGCGCCUCUUGCAUGUUUAUGUGGGCGUGUUCAUGCAUUAUGUUAUACCAGUAACAAGAGGAAAGAAAACAAUAGAAAGGGAUCUCAAACAUGGCCUGCAAAUUGGCUGGAAAAGUAAACGGAGUGUACUUUGCAGCUUAGGGCAAUACUGCAUUGUAAGGAAUUUCUCCCAUUUUAUAAAUGAGCAAAUUGAGGCUCAAGGAUUGUAUUUCUCAAAGAGCACUUGACUGUUGAUUACAAAAUCUGUAUUUCAUUCCAAAGUUUGUGUCUGCCUACCACCUAUGUUGCUGUAAAAAAAUGUGAAUGAUUUUACUUAAAAUGCUUAAGACUCAAUUGUCUGUACUGUAAGGGAGCUUGGUACUGGCCCAGAGGUAAAUACAGUACAGCGGAGCAGGAUGGAGACUCCAGAAAAGAGCUCAGUGAAUGAUAGGCACUGUUUCCUUUGAUUGAUAUUGUGAUGUGUAAGUUUGGUAAAAGCUGACUAAUUCAGGAUACUGGCAUAUAGGUAGCUGGCUUAGUAUUAUUUUUUAAGUGGCUUUUAAAAGGUGGGUAAAUCAUUCUAUGGUUAGAAAAAUCAAAAAGUGAAUUUCCUAAUAUUAACAUGAGACAUAAAUUAUUUCUCCCAGAUAUAUAGAGUAUUUUGAAGCAAAAUAUUUACAUAACUCAGGCCACUGUUAAAGGUUUCUGGAAUAUGACUGACAACAAUGCCCAUUCAUGUGUUUCCACCCCACUUCCUUUAUUCUCACUGUAAGACAAUAUAUUUGCGAUUGUUCACAAACAAUUUUGCUGUUAUUUUUGGUGCUUUGUUCUACAUGGGAUUCAUUUAUGGAACUUUACACUUAGGGCCUCUGGCUCUAAAUAGAACUUUCUGGUUACCCCAGUAGGGGACAGGUGUCACACUAUAAGAUUUAUCAUAGGCCUGCAAAUCCACUCAGCUAAUCUUUCAGAAAAUUGCAUUUUAAUUGUAAUUGAAAUCCUAUCCAUGCUGUAGACUUCAUAGAUAGCUGAUGCUCACUGCUGUUUGUACCCUAUGGCAAAAUACAGGAAUUAUACAUGUAUUAUGGUUUAUCCUUAUAUUGUCAUUUAAAAUAAAGGUUUCAUAAUACAGGAAAACAAA